GAUUUCUGGCUAACCGUCCUGGCCCGCUUCCUUACGGGGGUGAGUGCCGGUACGAGUUUGCCAUCCUUCUAGAGAGCCAUGCCUACCGUUCAUUCGGCCGGGCGUGUGCGAUCUAGAUCUUUUACUUUGAAAAAAUUAGAGUGUUUCAAGCAGGCAUGUUUUGCUAUGAAUACAUUAGCAUGGAAUAAUAAUCUAGGACUUUCGGUUCUAUUUUGUUGGUGUUCUGGAGCUGAAGUAAUGAUUGAUAGGGAUAGUUGGGGGUGCUAGUAUUCAAUGGCCAGAGGUGAAAUUCUCGGAUUCCUUGAAGACUAACUUAUGCGAAAGCAUU
RNAcentral lists this ribosomal RNA (328 nucleotides) under Allapsidae sp. RNAcentral describes it as "SSU rRNA". The stretch from base 108 to 328 matches the Rfam family "Eukaryotic small subunit ribosomal RNA", at positions 738 to 955 of the family's 1831-position model. Lineage: Eukaryota; Cercozoa; Glissomonadida; Viridiraptoridae. The record is from RNAcentral.